ACACUGGCUAGAGCGACGGUUCGAAAGGAAGAUGGUCAUUCGACUACUCAUUGCAUCUUCUUGCCAGUGUCUUUUCUUAAAUGGGUAGUCGGA
This 93-nucleotide non-coding RNA is filed under the name Acinetobacter baumannii ATCC 19606 = CIP 70.34 = JCM 6841. Its description in RNAcentral is "Acinetobacter baumannii ATCC 19606 int-alpA RNA". It matches the Rfam family "int-alpA RNA". Rfam says of the family: Acidobacteria (1 example), Planctomycetes (1 example), Proteobacteria. Environment (Lake Washington) The record is from Rfam by way of RNAcentral. Lineage: Bacteria; Pseudomonadati; Pseudomonadota; Gammaproteobacteria; Moraxellales; Moraxellaceae.